GCGGAUGUGGCGGAACCGGCAGACGCGCCGGCCUUAGGAGCCGGUGUCUUAGACGUAGGAGUUCAAAUCUCCUCAUCCGCACCA
This 84-nucleotide transfer RNA is filed under the name Clostridiales bacterium. RNAcentral describes it as "tRNA-Leu". It matches the Rfam family "tRNA". From Rfam's summary of the family: Transfer RNA (tRNA) molecules are approximately 80 nucleotides in length. Their secondary structure includes four short double-helical elements and three loops (D, anti-codon, and T loops). The record is from RNAcentral. Lineage: Bacteria; Bacillati; Bacillota; Clostridia; Eubacteriales.